UACGUAGGGGGCGAGCGUUGUCCGGAUUUAUUGGGCGUAAAGAGCGCGCAGGCGGUCGCGCAGGUCAUCUGUGAAAGCCCCCGGCUCAACCGGGCGGAUGCGGGUGAAACCGCGCGACUGGAGGGUGGGAGAGGUCGGCGGAAUUCCCGGUGUAGUGGUGAAAUGCGUAGAUAUCGGGAGGAACACCCGUAGCGAAGGCGGCCGACUGGACCACACCUGACGCUGAGGCGCGAAGGCCAGGGGAGCGAACGGG
Molecule: ribosomal RNA, 253 nt
Filed under: uncultured bacterium
Lineage: Bacteria
Description: partial 16S ribosomal RNA
Rfam family: Bacterial small subunit ribosomal RNA
Source: RNAcentral